AGUUUGAUAUAUCAAACUCAGCAUCUCAAUUCUCAAUUACAAUACAGGCCCCGUGAAGUUUAGGAUAAUUACAAAUUUACAAUAAAUUUGAAGGGAAAAGAAGGCAUUGGCAAGAAUAAAGCAGCUAAAAGAUAUAGAAGCCAUGUAAUGUCACCAUUCCAACAUAGUUAUAUUUUUAUCUCCACUCAAAUGAACCGUAACAUUUUACACUCAUGGGAAACCCUAAUCAUUUCUUCAUUAUUGAAAGCUUAAGCAAGCGUACCAAUCUUAUAUUCUAAAACAACAUACUGAAAUCUCAAAUUCCAUUGAUAAUUCAUCAAUGGAACAAAUGAAACCCCCAAAAGUACUCAUGUUUUGUAAAGUGAUAGAAGUGACAAUUGUUCAUCUACAGAGCAAUCCACAUGACAUGACAUGCGGCAAGAAGAAGGAAUAAGAAUAAGACCAAUGCACCUCUGUUCCAUUGGAGAAGGAGACGAGCGUCGAGUGCUACGAUACUCCACAGUAUCCUGAAGAAUAAUAUUCCCUUGCUUGUCCAUGCAAUAGAAGUUACCCAAGAAGAAUCUUCCAUCUUUGAUCCCAACCAACAUUUGGCGAAACAGCAGCUUCCUUACCCGACUGACUCGAUCUGAUUCCAAACUGUCUGAGCUUCCUCCUUGAACUGGAACAGGUUGUUCUGCUUCUUGUUCCAUCUUAGCACUUGACAAUCACCUGCAAAAGAACAACAGAUACCAUCUAAACAACUUCAAAGUCUGGACAAGUGUAAAUGCAACUGCAGAAUAUAUUAUUAAAAUGGAAAGAUGAUUUAUGAAAAUAUUAUUAUUGUGAAUCAAAUUCAAUCACACACAACAAAUCGUGCAAAAUACGUGAAGUUUGCACGCAUCAACAAGCUUAUAAAAAGGUCUCAGAUUAUUUAAACACAUCAUAAUCUAGAAAAGAUGAUCAACCAAUAUAGGCAAAUUAAACACAUCAUUGACCUUACCUUUAUAAAAAUCACAGUACAUUAAAAAAAUCACAAAAAGAACUAAAUUAAACGUUUGUUGUAAACAAAAAAAAAAAACAGAUUUAGAUGGGGAUUUCACUCAUUAAUGCCUAGAUUUAUUUAGGUUUAAUUCUGACAGCAAUUUUCCUUAACUCAAUAUCAGAAGAGGGAGCUUCCGCUUCGUAUCCUCAUUGUGAACACUUCUCCCCAGAAAAACACAUUAAAACAGUCGAAAAACUGAAACGAAAAACUAAAAGGUUUUUUCAUUGCACUAGAUAAUCAAGGAGAUAAUAAACAAAUCAGAGAAAGAAGGUUAAUUAAAUCAGAGAAAGCCCAGCAUUCAAG
Molecule: long non-coding RNA, 1324 nt
Filed under: Medicago truncatula (barrel medic)
Lineage: Eukaryota; Viridiplantae; Streptophyta; Magnoliopsida; Fabales; Fabaceae
Description: lncRNA gene7956
Source: RNAcentral